This is a non-coding RNA of Pelobates cultripes (western spadefoot toad), 1108 nucleotides long. The record is from the annotation of a GenBank genome assembly. Lineage: Eukaryota; Metazoa; Chordata; Amphibia; Anura; Pelobatidae.
GCCAUGCAAGGGGUAUCUUUAAUUACAUUCCAUUCCAAUUCCAAUUACAUUUCCCCUGGUGGACCUUGGUGGGGACAGGUAACAAAGAAACAUUUCCCAGACUACCUUUCUGUACUUGGAAGAUAAUUGCGUAAGGACAAUUAUUUAAUUAGAUCAUCCCCCAAGUACAGAAAAUUAAACAAUAUUUCAAGCAAUCAUAACUCCUAUAAUAUUCGUCAUAACUUCACAAAAGAUACUUCACAGAAUAGCAGGGAUCUGAGUACCCACUCUGUCUAAAUACUGCUCUGAUCCGUUCUGUAGAAUAGGAACACCAUCCGAGUAAAGUUUAGAUCGGUCAACCACGAGGUGAAGCCCCAAAACAGUUCCAUGUGAUUGUAUGCUUUGACUGGUCUUCUUUCGGGAGUUUUUAGUAUUAAACUAAUGAAUGCAACUGAUCAAUAGUUUGACGUGUGCCUUGUGUUCAUUAAUUUAAUUCAUGUAUAGGUGAAGGGGAACGAAAAUACGAAAAGGAUGGAAGUUCAGCGGUGUUCGUGCCGUUGAGUGUGCGAUUAUGGUUCCAUGCGCUCAACGACCAAACGAUGUAUGUUCGUGAGCAAAAAUGGCCGCCACUACGGUCAUACGAAUGGCGGCCACCUAUCUGACCAUAUGAAAGCUUGCGAUUUCUUGUUGUGAACAUAGUCAAUUGAAAGGCACACGACUGGCAAACAACGGGGUUGUCUCCCCGUUCGGUAGUUGGUUUUCCUGACGAACAUUAUGUCUUUAUUCUGUUCGGCAGCCUCAAAUAGUCAAACCAACUCAGUCUUUCAUACAAAUCAGUGGCUAGUUUUGCCACAGUCGUCUGGAGAGCGGGCUUGCUGGGUCCUCAGGGUUAUGACACAUUUUCCACUGUACUUCCUGCACUCUGUGAUUACUACUUCUGCGUGCUGGAACUUUAGUGGGAACUUUACUUACAGCAAUUUUUCGGCAGGGCUGUUGCUGUGAAAUGGCUCCAAGGAGCGGCUGAAUUCCCCUUUGUGUCUGGCUAUGUGUGCUGUAACAGCUACAUAGCCAGCACAGGCGGCGGGACACGCAGGACUGCAGGAGUCGGACUGAGUCAUUAAUGGUGAAG